This 534-nucleotide ribosomal RNA is filed under the name uncultured bacterium. RNAcentral describes it as "bacterial SSU rRNA". It matches the Rfam family "Bacterial small subunit ribosomal RNA", at positions 773 to 1319 of the family's 1533-position model. The record is from RNAcentral.
AGCGAAUAGAUACCCCGGUAGUCCACGCCGUAAACUAUGGAUGCUAGCUGUUACGAGUAUCGACCCUCGUAGUAGCGAAAGCUAACGCGUUAAGCAUCCCACCUGUGGAGUACGGUCGCAAGACUAAAACAUAAAGGAAUUGACGGGGACCCGCACAAGCGGUGGAGCGUGUUGUUUAAUUCGAUGAUAAGCGAAGAACCUUACCCAGGCUUGACAUCCUUGGAAGCACUGCGAAAGCAGAGUGUGCCUUCGGGAACCAAGUGACAGGUGAUGCAUGGCCGUCGUCAGCUCGUGUCGUGAGAUGUUUGGUUAAGUCCAUCAACGAGCGCAACCCUUGUGGCUGGUUGAAUUUUUCUAGUCAGACUGCCCUGGUAACAGGGAGGAAGGAGGGGAUGAUGUCAGGUCAGUAUCUCCCUUACGUCUGGGGCUACAAACACGCUACAAUGGCCGGUACAAAGGGCAGCCAAGUCGCAAGACGGAGCAAAUCCCAUCAAAGCCGGUCCCAGUUCGGAUUGGAGGCUGAAACUCGCCUCC